AGGAUGAACGCUGGCGGUAUGCUUAACACAUGCAAGUCGAACGGAACCUUCGGGUUUAGUGGCGGACGGGUGAGUAACGCGUGAGAAUCUGCCUCUAGGUCGGGGACAACAAUUGGAAACGAUUGCUAAUACCCGAUGUGCAGCAAUGUGAAAGAUUUAUUGCCUAGAGAUGAGCUCGCGUCUGAUUAGCUAGUAGGUGUGGUAAUGGCGCACCUAGGCGACGAUCAGUAACUGGUCUGAGAGGAUGACCAGUCACACUGGGACUGAGACACGGCCCAGACUCCUACGGGAGGCAGCAGUGGGAAUUUCGCAAUGGGCGAAAGCCUGACGGAGCAAUACCGCGUGAGGGACGAAGGCUUUUGGUCGUAAACCUCUUUUCCCGUGAGAAGAAGAUCGUGACGGUACCGAAGGGAAUCAGCAUCGGACGUUAAACUUCGUGCCAGCAGCCGAC
Molecule: ribosomal RNA, 451 nt
Filed under: uncultured soil bacterium
Lineage: Bacteria
Description: bacterial SSU rRNA
Rfam family: Bacterial small subunit ribosomal RNA
Source: RNAcentral